CCUACGGGAGGCAGCAGUGGGGAAUAUUGGACAAUGGGCGAAAGCCUGAUCCAGCAAUGCCGCGUGAGUGAUGAAGGCCUUAGGGUUGUAAAGCUCUUUUACCAGGGAUGAUAAUGACAGUACCUGGAGAAUAAGCUCCGGCUAACUCCGUGCCAGCAGCCGCGGUAAUACGGAGGGAGCUAGCGUUGUUCGGAAUUACUGGGCGUAAAGCGUGCGUAGGCGGUGAUUCAAGUCAGAGGUGAAAGCCUGGAGCUCAACUCCAGAACGGCCUUUGAAACUAGAUCGCUAGAAUUAUGGAGAGGUAAGUGGAAUUCCGAGUGUAGAGGUGAAAUUCGUAGAUAUUCGGAAGAACACCAGUGGCGAAGGCGACUUACUGGACAUAUAUUGACGCUGAGGUACGAAAGCGUGGGGAGCAAACAGGAUUAGAUACCCUGGUAGUCCACGCCGUAAACGAUGAUAACUAGCUGUUCGGGCUCUCAGNGUCUGAGUGGCGCAGCUACGCAUUAAGUUAGUCCGCCGUGGGAGGUACGGUCGCGAGUAAGUAAACGUACGUUAAGAAGUAGUUACGGCGUGAGAGNGCCGACGGACGACGACGAGGGAGGAGG
RNAcentral lists this ribosomal RNA (605 nucleotides) under uncultured bacterium. RNAcentral describes it as "bacterial SSU rRNA". The stretch from base 1 to 518 matches the Rfam family "Bacterial small subunit ribosomal RNA", at positions 338 to 873 of the family's 1533-position model. The record is from RNAcentral.